GACGAACGCUGGCGGCGUGCUUAACACAUGCAAGUCGAACGAGAAUCUACUGAAAGAGUUUUCGGACAAUGGAAGUAGAGGAAAGUGGCGGACGGGUGAGUAACGCGUGAGGAACCUGCCUUGAAGAGGGGGACAACAGUUGGAAACGACUGCUAAUACCGCAUGAAGCAUAGGGGUCGCAUGAUUCUUAUGCCAAAGAUUUAUCGCUUCAAGAUGGCCUCGCGUCUGAUUAGCUGGUUGGCGGGGUAACGGCCCACCAAGGCGACGAUCAGUAGCCGGACUGAGAGGUUGAACGGCCACAUUGGGACUGAGAUACGGCCCAGACUCCUACGGGAGGCAGCAGUGGGGAAUAUUGGGCAAUGGGCGCAAGCCUGACCCAGCAACGCCGCGUGAAGGAAGAAGGCUUUCGGGUGGUAAACUUCUUUUAAGAGGGAAGAGCAGAAGACGGUACCUCUAGAAUAAGCCACGGCUAACUACGUG
RNAcentral lists this ribosomal RNA (480 nucleotides) under uncultured bacterium. RNAcentral describes it as "partial 16S ribosomal RNA". It matches the Rfam family "Bacterial small subunit ribosomal RNA", at positions 28 to 507 of the family's 1533-position model. The record is from RNAcentral.